RNAcentral lists this non-coding RNA (24 nucleotides) under Arabidopsis thaliana (thale cress). Lineage: Eukaryota; Viridiplantae; Streptophyta; Magnoliopsida; Brassicales; Brassicaceae. The record is from RNAcentral.
CGAGAAGUCCUCGUGUUGCAUCCC